RNAcentral lists this ribosomal RNA (538 nucleotides) under Coleonyx nemoralis. Its description in RNAcentral is "Coleonyx elegans nemoralis partial large subunit ribosomal RNA". It matches the Rfam family "Bacterial large subunit ribosomal RNA", at positions 1817 to 2597 of the family's 2925-position model. The record is from RNAcentral. Lineage: Eukaryota; Metazoa; Chordata; Lepidosauria; Squamata; Eublepharidae.
AGCCUUUAGCUCACCAAGUAUUAAAGGUCCUGCCUGCCCAGUGAAACUUUUAACGGCCGCGGUAUCCUAACCGUGCAAAGGUAGCGUAAUCACUUGUCUUCUAAAUAAAGACUCGUAUGAACGGCUAAAUGAGGACCUAACUGUCUCCUACGACCAAUUAAUGAAACUGAUCUUUCAGUCCAAAAGCUGAAAUACAAACAUAAGACGAGAAGACCCUGUGGAGCUUUUUAACCUAGAUACUAUACCCACCACAUAUUCCACCAGUAAUAGUACCUCGUUUAAGUUGGGGCAACUAUGGAAAAAGAAAAACUUCCACAUCCCCCAGGGACAACCCCCCUCCCUCCCAGACUAACCGGUCAAACACUAAACACAUGACCCAGUCCUACUGAUCAAUGAACCAAGUUACCCCAGGGAUAACAGCGCAAUCCCCUUUCAGAGUUCCUAUCGCCAAGGGGGCUUACGACCUCGAUGUUGGAUCAGGACACCCAAAUAGUGCAGCAACUAUUAACGGUUCGUUUGUUCAACGAUUAACAGUCCU